This 423-nucleotide ribosomal RNA is filed under the name uncultured bacterium. Its description in RNAcentral is "partial 16S ribosomal RNA". It matches the Rfam family "Bacterial small subunit ribosomal RNA", at positions 360 to 776 of the family's 1533-position model. The record is from RNAcentral.
AAUAUUCGACAAUGGGGGAAACCCUGAUCGAGCAAUGCCGCGUGAGUGAUGAAGGUCUUACGACUGUAAAACUCUGUUAUAGAGGAAGAACAACCAUUAUAGGUAAUGAUGAUGGUCUGACGGUACUCUAUCAGAAAGCCCCGGCUAACUACGUGCCAGCAGCCGCGGUAAUACGUAGGGGGCGAGCGUUGUCCGGAAUUAUUGGGCGUAAAGGGUUCGUAGGCGGUCUUGUAAGUCAGAUGUGAAAGGUCACGGCUCAACCGUGGUAAGCAUUUGAAACUGAGAGACUUGAGUUAAGGAGAGGAAAGUGGAAUUCCUAGUGUAGCGGUGAAAUGCGUAGAUAUUAGGAGGAAUACCAGUGGCGAAGGCGACUUUCUGGACUUAAACUGACGCUGAGGAACGAAAGCGUGGGGAGCAAACAGG